UACGUAGGUGGCGAGCGUUGUCCGGAUUUACUGGGCGUAAAGGGUGCGUAGGUGGUUUCUUAAGUCAGAGGUGAAAGGCUACGGCUCAACCGUAGUAAGCCUUUGAAACUGGGAAACUUGAGUGCAGGAGAGGAGAGUGGAAUUCCUAGUGUAGCGGUGAAAUGCGUAGAUAUUAGGAGGAACACCAGUUGCGAAGGCGGCUCUCUGGACUGUAACUGACACUGAGGCACGAAAGCGUGGGGAGCAAACAGGAUUAGAUACCCCCGUAGUCCCUGAGCGGGCU
RNAcentral lists this ribosomal RNA (283 nucleotides) under uncultured prokaryote. RNAcentral's name for it is "partial 16S ribosomal RNA". It matches the Rfam family "Bacterial small subunit ribosomal RNA", at positions 524 to 817 of the family's 1533-position model. The record is from RNAcentral.